GUUCCUCUCUGACAGAUGUGAAUUAUAACUUGCUCAAGUAGAAUUAAAUAACACUUGACUGUGAACUGCACCGCACUUUUGCUCAUCUUCUCGUCAUCUAGUGGACAAAAGACAAAAGCAAUGUGAGUUUUUGAAGGCUUUUCGGGGAGUUUUUAGGACAACGUAAUGAAAACAUGUUACUACAUUGCAGCUUAGAAGUAAAAUGCAUGAACUAAUGUUGUAACCUGACUCUCAGACAGGAUGCUUCUAAGGUGGCAAAAAUGCAGAUUUAUUGAUUUUUUUUAACUGCAUGAGUUAUUUUAGAGAAAAUUUACUAGGCAACACAACACAGAGCACUCAAAUAUAUUUAUUAUUUGUUUCAAUAAUAAAGCAAACAGUGAAUGAAUAAAGAGCUUCCUUGCUGAACUUACACAUAAGCUUCAUUUCUCUGACUCAUAUAAAGGUAUUAGUCAACAUGGAAUUGAUAACAUGUUGCAGAACAGCUAAGUUAUGUCAGGACAAAACUCACCUUCAUUAAACAGGAAAUUCAGACCUUAAACUUGACAUAGCUGGCUAAGACAUUAAUCCUAGUUAAUAGUACACCCCUCUAGUCUUGUAUGACAUCAGUGCACAUUGCAAAAGCUUCAUUUCUACUCUAUGGCCAUUUAAGGGAACAAAUAGGAACCACAUGAGCAUAGUCUGACAAAUUUGACUGCAAACAAAGGAAAUGCAGUUAUUUCCUACAACUACUUUUUCUUCUGCUAACAACAUCCGUUCAUCAUUUUCUAUGUCUGCCUGCCUAUGAUUUUAGACAUAUUUGUUCAGGCAUUAAUUAUUAAUGCACAAAAUUUUAAAAUUAAAAAACACACAGACAACUAAAUGAUAACCAAAAAUUGUACCUUGUAAUUAAUUAAGCCCACAAAGUCCAAAACAUCUGGAAAGCUUUAAGAUGUAACUAAAAACCAUGCAAUGAUUAGCAGAUCAUGCAGACACAGAAAACUUUGAUCUCAGACAUUUUACUAUUUCAUAGAAAAUGUUCAAUUGUUUUGAAUAUGCAACUAAACGGGUUUGUUAACAACAGCUCAGUAACAUGAUUGGAACAUCUUAGUUAGUCAGAAUUUUGCCAAAGGAAAGAUGGGCAGAGGUUCAUCGAUCUGCAUUAAACUGCAGAAUCAUGCUCCUCAGUGUAAAAUUGCAACAACCUUAAAUAUCUGAUCUAGAGCACAUAAUUACAGCCUGAGGUGUGUGGAGGAGAUGCCAGGAGAUGAGCCACUACAGGAGGACAGAACCAUAGAAUGGCAUCAAUCCAACAACUGGAUUAGUUAAUAUUUGGAACUAAAACAUAAAUGCAAUUACUGCCCAAUGAAAUUCUAGAUAAAUUUGGUUUGUUUAUAGAAGACAAACCACACUGUCAGUUUGACUUGCAAAUAUGCAGAAACAUAAUGCUUUACCAAACCGCAUCUGUAUAGUGUUCUGGUCAUUUGUUCUCACAUUUGCAUUGUGUUUAUCAACCACAAACAGAUGGGUUGAAAAUUCUUAGAACUUACAUUAGUGACGUAAGAGGGUGUCAAUGCAAAUUCACAUUGUAAUAUUAGGUGAUAGUCAAACAUAUAAAAACUGAAGCACUCAGAGACAAGUAUGAUUCUGUGACAGAAGUGAACUAUACACUGCUUCGUGUCUGAGCUACACUAGACGUGACCUCUGCUCAUCUCAAGUCUUCACUCCACAUUUGCUUCAGUGAAUUUCAUUUAGUGAAGACAUCUGCUCCACCUGGUGUUCCAGACAACCAGCUCGUGCCUGAACCGCUGCAGGUUAACUAACCAACCUCUCCCCAGUAAAGCAAACAAUAAGGAAAUAAUGAGGAUCCUGUUUGCCUGUUUGAUGCUUGUGCUGCUCAUUGCCACUACACCUUCAAAAGCAACCAAAGGUUCAAAACAAAACAAAAAGAAAGCUGAACCACAACCAGAAGAGGAGACUAAACGUCUUUACGAACUGUUUAAAACACAGCACAUAAAUGACAGGAUGACUGAGGACCAGUGUGAUAGUGAAAUAUUGACUAGGAAUAUCUUAGACAAGAAUAAACAAUGUAAGGAGAAGAAUACGUUCAUUCUUAGCGAUAGCGAAACAGUCAAAUCUAUUUGUAAUAAUAGGC
Long non-coding RNA from Haplochromis burtoni (Burton's mouthbrooder), 2131 nucleotides. RefSeq lists it as uncharacterized. The record is from RefSeq and is a predicted model, not a curated record. Lineage: Eukaryota; Metazoa; Chordata; Actinopteri; Cichliformes; Cichlidae. The transcript is spliced from 3 exons.